Long non-coding RNA from Mauremys mutica (yellowpond turtle), 379 nucleotides. RefSeq lists it as uncharacterized. The record is from RefSeq and is a predicted model, not a curated record. Lineage: Eukaryota; Metazoa; Chordata; Testudines; Geoemydidae. The transcript has 4 exons.
CUUUUGUUUCUUGUGUUCUCCAUAAUUAGUUUGCUUCUCCUUUUUUGAAAUCUACAGAAGAGACUGAGAAAGGCCUGGCUGUGGGGAAGGGACUUUUGUUACCCUGGAAGAGGUGAGAACAAAAAAUGUGACCUGACUGGAGAGCCAAGAUCGUGAGAGCCAUGAGGAAGAAUGAAGUAGAGAGUCUGCAAGGCCACAUUUUGCCAUGAUGGGUGCUCCAGCACAGAUUUUCUCAGAAUGCCUGUUGCUAUGUGUUUGCACUGGAGAAGGAAAGGUCAAAGAAAUGCACCUUGCACAUGGAGCAGAAGGAUAUUCAUGACCUAGACGAGGGCGCAACAAGAAUCUUCCAUAUCCAGGGUGACAAAGCACAAUGUAAGAG